UGCAUGUCUGAGUACAGACCGAUCUAAGGUGAAACCGCGAAUGGCUCAUUAAAUCAGUCGUAAUUUCUUGGAUAGUGAAAAACUUUCCUCGGAUAACUGUGGAAAAUCCAGAGCUAAUACGUGCAACUGAGCUCCGACCUAGGCGCGAGCCUUGGGAAGAGCGCAUUUAUUAGAUUCAAAACUGACCGGCGUACUCCUUCGGGAUACGUCGUUCGUCAAAUGUUUGAUGACUCCGGAUAACUUAGCCGAGCGCUACGGUCUUUAGUACCGGCGCCGUAUCUUUCAAGUGUCUGCCUUAUCAGCUUUCGAUUGUAGGUUAAACGCCUACAAUGGCUGUAACGGGUAACGGGGAAUCAGGGUUCGAUUCCGGAGAGGGAGCCUGAGAAACGGCUACCACAUCUAAGGAAGGCAGCAGGCACGCAAAUUACCCACUCCCAGCCCGGGGAGGUAGUGACGAAAAAUAACCGAUGCGAGACUCUUCCGAGGCCUCGCAAUCGGAAUGA
Molecule: ribosomal RNA, 503 nt
Filed under: Macrostylis sp. MLpap
Lineage: Eukaryota; Metazoa; Arthropoda; Malacostraca; Isopoda; Macrostylidae
Description: bacterial SSU rRNA
Rfam family: Eukaryotic small subunit ribosomal RNA
Source: RNAcentral